RNAcentral lists this non-coding RNA (24 nucleotides) under Arabidopsis thaliana (thale cress). The record is from RNAcentral. Lineage: Eukaryota; Viridiplantae; Streptophyta; Magnoliopsida; Brassicales; Brassicaceae.
GAAAGUUGGCCAACUCUCUUCAUA